Molecule: ribosomal RNA, 515 nt
Filed under: Pediococcus acidilactici
Lineage: Bacteria; Bacillati; Bacillota; Bacilli; Lactobacillales; Lactobacillaceae
Description: bacterial SSU rRNA
Rfam family: Bacterial small subunit ribosomal RNA
Source: RNAcentral
AACGCUGGCGGCGUGCCUAAUACAUGCAAGUCGAACGAACUUCCGUUAAUUGAUUAUGACGUGCUUGCACUGAAUGAGAUUUUAACACGAAGUGAGUGGCGGACGGGUGAGUAACACGUGGGUAACCUGCCCAGAAGCAGGGGAUAACACCUGGAAACAGAUGCUAAUACCGUAUAACAGAGAAAACCGCCUGGUUUUCUUUUAAAAGAUGGCUCUGCUAUCACUUCUGGAUGGACCCGCGGCGCAUUAGCUAGUUGGUGAGGUAACGGCUCACCAAGGCGAUGAUGCGUAGCCGACCUGAGAGGGUAAUCGGCCACAUUGGGACUGAGACACGGCCCAGACUCCUACGGGAGGCAGCAGUAGGGAAUCUUCCACAAUGGACGCAAGUCUGAUGGAGCAACGCCGCGUGAGUGAAGAAGGGUUUCGGCUCGUAAAGCUCUGUUGUUAAAGAAGAACGUGGGUGAGAGUACUGUUCACCCAGUGACGGUAUUUAACCAGAAAGCCACGGCUAACUA